AACAUUAUUUCUUUGACAAUGACCCUAUACCAAGUUCAUUUGAUCUUUUUGACUCUCAUCCAAUUAAUUCUCUCUU
Molecule: small RNA, 76 nt
Filed under: Arabidopsis thaliana (thale cress)
Lineage: Eukaryota; Viridiplantae; Streptophyta; Magnoliopsida; Brassicales; Brassicaceae
Description: ATSL120890
Source: RNAcentral